RNAcentral lists this non-coding RNA (24 nucleotides) under Tribolium castaneum (red flour beetle). RNAcentral also lists the same sequence under 1 other name. Lineage: Eukaryota; Metazoa; Arthropoda; Insecta; Coleoptera; Tenebrionidae. The record is from RNAcentral.
UAAAUGCACUAUCUGGUACGACAG